Molecule: microRNA precursor, 203 nt
Organism: Oryza sativa Japonica Group (Japanese rice)
Lineage: Eukaryota; Viridiplantae; Streptophyta; Magnoliopsida; Poales; Poaceae
Rfam family: MIR812 microRNA precursor family
Source: Rfam
AAAAAGACAAACCCUGAAUUUUCGUGUCCAACGUUUGACUGUCCAUCUUAUAAUUGUUUUAUAAUUAGUAUUUUCAUUGUUGUUAAAUGAUAAAAUAUGAUUAAUACUUUAUGCGUGACUUGUCUUUUUAAUUUUUUUCAUAAUUUUUUUAAAUAAGACGGACGAUCAAACGUUGGACACGAAAACCCAGGGUUUGUCUUUUU